Molecule: long non-coding RNA, 629 nt
Filed under: Fukomys damarensis (Damara mole-rat)
Lineage: Eukaryota; Metazoa; Chordata; Mammalia; Rodentia; Bathyergidae
Description: lncRNA (ENSFDAG00000023585.1)
Source: RNAcentral
AUAUACUCUGCAUGCAAGAAGAUAGUGACCACAAGGACCCAGACACCAGAUUUUGUCUUGCUGUCCAGGCUGGAGCACAUGUCUAUGACAUGACCUCACAGAUGACAAGGUCAGUUUGGUCCAGGAGAGCUGGAGACAGCCACAUUGAGAUGAUGUCUCCAGGGUCAGCUGUAAGGGUCUGGAUCCAGAGGGAGAGUCACAGAUGGAUGGCUACCCAGCUGUUUCUCUUCCUGUUGAGAAGAGCCUAACUUACUGCCCCAGCGAGUGGGCUGCCUUUCUGAUGUGUUUGACCCGCAGAAUGUUGUGGAACAACUUCUCCCCACUCAUGGGACCCCACUGCCACACUGUGGAUCCAAAAUCACAGGGAGAGGCCAUGUGAGGACACUUCUCUCAAAAGCCCACUAACCUCUACCCAUUGGAAGGCACUGUCCCAGCUACCUGUGCCAGAUGAGUUUUCAGCAACAGAGCCCAGCUGCUGGGUGACUGAAACCCCAAGACAGACCCCAGGCAAGGGCUGCCAGCUGGGACUGGAAAGGCAACAACAUGGCUUAAGUGACCGGCAACAGGUAACAGGAACAGUCUUUGUCAUCAGGCUAUUGGUCCCCAAGCAGGGAUGGUAUCCUCAUCAC